Molecule: ribosomal RNA, 577 nt
Filed under: uncultured bacterium
Lineage: Bacteria
Description: bacterial SSU rRNA
Rfam family: Bacterial small subunit ribosomal RNA
Source: RNAcentral
GCGACCGGCAAACGGGUGCGGAACACGUACGCAACCUUCCUUUAAGUGGAGAAUAGCCCGGGGAAACCCGGAUUAAUACUCCGUAACAUUAUGAAGUGGCAUCAUUUUAUAAUUAUAGCUCCGGCGCUUAAAGAUGGGCGUGCGCCUGAUUAGGUAGUUGGCGGGGUAACGGCCCACCAAGCCUACGAUCAGUAACUGGUGUGAGAGCACGACCAGUCACACGGGCACUGAGACACGGGCCCGACUCCUACGGGAGGCAGCAGUAAGGAAUAUUGGUCAAUGGACGCAAGUCUGAACCAGCCAUGCCGCGUGGAGGAUGAAGGUCCUCUGGAUUGUAAACUUCUUUUAUUGGGGAAGAAACCCACGAUUUCUAUGUGGUUGACGGUACCAGAUGAAUAAAGCACCGGGUAACUCCGUGCCAGCAGCCGCGGUAAAUACGGAGGGUGCAAGCGGUAAUCCGGGAUUCCACUGGGGUUUACAAGGGUGCGUAGGCGGGGUAGGUAAAGUCCGGUGGUGGAAAUUCUCCCAAGGCUUUAACUUUGGGAAAACUUGCCGGUGGGAUUACUUCUCAAUUCUU